AAAUGGUAGAACCGGGGUAAGCGUGUAGGAGGAGGACCAGGCAAAUCCGGGCCUCACAUACUCUGAGACGUGAUACCGAGCCGCUUCAGGCGAAGUCAUUAAUCCUAUGCUGCCUAGAAAAGCCCAGUAGCGAGUUGACAUGGUGCCCGUACCCCAAACCAACACAGGUGGACAGGUAGAGCAUACCAAGGCGAGUGGGAUAACUAUGGUUAAGGAACUCGGCAAAUUUCCUCCGUAACUUCGGGAUAAGGAGGACCCCAGUAGCGUGACGAGACUUGCUCUCCGAGCGUGAAGGGGUGGCACAAAAUUGAGGGAAGCGAUUGUUUACCAAAAACACAGCAGCGUGCUAAGCCGUAAGGCGCUGUAUACGCUGUGACUCCUGCCCGGUGCUGGAAGGUUACGGGGAUGGGUUAGUCCUUCGGGACGAAGCUCUGAACCUAAGCCCCAGUAAACGGCGGCCGUAACUAUAACGGUCCUAAGGUAGCGAAAUUCCUUGUCGGGUAAGUUCCGACCUGCACGAAUGGAGUAACGACUUCCCUACUGUCUCAACCAUAGACCCAGCGAAAUUGAAGUACGAGUAAAGAUGCUCGUUAGCUGCAGAAGGACGGAAAGACCCCGUGGACCUUUACUAUAACUUGAUGUUGUGUUUUGUCAUAUGUUGUGUAGGAUAGGUGGGAGACAAGGAAGCAUGGACGCUAGUCUGUGUGGAGUCAUCGUUGAAAUACCACCCUGCAUAUGGUGAGGCUCUAACCUAGACCCGUUAUCCGGGUUGGGGACAGCGUCAGGCGGGUAGUUUAACUGGGGCGGUUGCCUCCUAGAGAGUAACGGAGGCGCCCAAAGGUUCCCUCAGCCUGGUUGGCAAUCAGGCGUCGAGUGCAAUGGCAAAAGGGAGCUUGACUGCGAGACCUACAAGUCGAGCAGGUGCGAAAGCUGGGCAUAGUGAUCCGGCGGUUGCGUGUGGAAGCGCCGUCGCUCAACGGAUAAAAGGUACCCCGGGGAUAACAGGCUAAUCUUGCCCAAGCGUCCAUAGCGACGGCAAGGUUUGGCACCUCGAUGUCGGCUCAUCGCAUCCUGGGGCUGAAGCAGGUCCCAAGGGUUGGGCUGUUCGCCCAUUAAAGCGGUACGCGAGCUGGGUUCAGAACGUCGUGAGACAGUUCGGUCCCUAUCCUCUGUAGCCGUAGGUGAAUUGAGGAAAGCUGUCCCUAGUACGAGAGGACCGGGACGGACGCAGCUCUCGUGUGCCAGUUGUCCUGCCAAGGGCAUGGCUGGUUAGCGACCCGCGGAAAGGAUAACCGCUGAAAGCAUCUAAGCGGGAAGCCUCUUCCAAGAUGAAUUCACCCACAGGGUUAACCUGGUAAGGCCCGUGGUAGACCACCACGUUGAUAGGCCGGAAGUGUAAGCGUGGCAACACGCUCAGCUGACCGGUACUAAUCGGCCGAGGGCUUGAAUU
RNAcentral lists this ribosomal RNA (1450 nucleotides) under metagenome. Its description in RNAcentral is "bacterial LSU rRNA". It matches the Rfam family "Bacterial large subunit ribosomal RNA", at positions 1496 to 2925 of the family's 2925-position model. The record is from RNAcentral.